This 1340-nucleotide long non-coding RNA is filed under the name Citrus x clementina. RNAcentral describes it as "Citrus clementina (C. clementina) long non-coding RNA (CCLE_LNC003634)". Lineage: Eukaryota; Viridiplantae; Streptophyta; Magnoliopsida; Sapindales; Rutaceae. The record is from RNAcentral.
GACUGCAGUGGCAUUUGCAGACAAUGUCAUAAAAAAUUCUGCAGCUAAUAAAAGUUUUGACUCUUCUCAUACCAUCAAAGAGAAAAAGAAUAGAAAGGGAUAAAUAUAAAUAUUAGAAAGCAGAGAACCAUAACUAGAAGCACGCGACUUAAGCUCUACCAAGAGAACAAAUAGUCACAUAAGUUUGCAAAAUGACAUUCUGUCUUCAUUUGAGUAAUGAGUCCAUUGGUGAAUUUGGACGUUAAAACAGUAUCAGUGAAAAUCAGAUAAGAACAAGCAGAAUACGCAAUUUGAUAACAAACUCAUCUAACAAUAGCAAAAGGUCACUUCUUUACUUAAAUAUCGAACCAUAUUAACAAAUGAGAUAAGAACAAGCAGAAUACGCAAUUUGAUAACAAACUCAUCUAACAGUAGCAAAAGGUCACUUCUUUACUUAAAUAUCGAACCAUAUUAACAAAUAAGAAUCAUAACGUGAUUGGUCUCCAGAAGCACAUUAGUAUCUCCACCCCCCUUUCUUUUUUAAAAAGUAAUUCUACCCUGCCUCGGUUAGAAAUUGAAAAUCCAUUAUGUUAGUUAGCACAAACUGUUUCCUCCAUUUCCAAUCCUUUCAGUUAGAACUUCAGAUAUCAUAAGCAAUCAAUAGAUAUUCAUUCAUAAAAUACGGCUAAAUCAUACAAGUAGUAAAGAAUUGAGAGUGCAUCCAGUGAAGAAAGUUCACAAAUCUUUCUUUCUUUCUUUCUUUUUUGUGGUGGGGGGGUUUGGAAUGGUUUCCAGUUUUUCAGUAUUUCCAUAGUUCUCAUCACCUUGUGACAAAUUUGUCAAACACAAGUUACUCCUCUUUUUCUCUUUCCUAAUCUAACAUUAUUAAUCAAAUAAAAUGCAAUGAAUUUGUUCAAUGACUUUAUCACAGCUUCAUGAACUAAUUUCAAGACAACUCCUAGUCUAGAAGUUCACGGAAAAUGUAAAAUAUCUCUUCUGCAAUGUUAAAAAUUUGUUUACAGUUGAGCUAUUGAAAAGCUACUCCUGAAUUCCGGAGCAUGCCAGAACAAUCUAACAUUAUUAAUCAAAUAAAAUGCAAUGAAUUUGUUCAAUGACUUUAUCACAGCUUCAUGAACUAAUUUCAAGACAACUCCUAGUCUAGAAGUUCACGGAAAAUGUAAAAUAUCUCUUCUGCAAUGUUAAAAAUUUGUUUACAGUUGAGCUAUUGAAAAGCUACUCCUGAAUUCCGGAGUAUGCCAGAACAAUCAUUUUCAAGAUGAAGAUACAACUCCUCAUGGAUGGAAAGCAAAAUCCUAGUCCCACCUAACAUUUCCACAGAUAUUAAAUUGAUAAAUUACCUU